Molecule: long non-coding RNA, 1302 nt
Filed under: Marmota monax (woodchuck)
Lineage: Eukaryota; Metazoa; Chordata; Mammalia; Rodentia; Sciuridae
Source: RNAcentral
ACUGGCCCCAUUCAUGGAGGAUGCAGGAAGUUCAGGAGGUAUUAUGUGGCCCCAGAAGAGAGGUAGGCAGCAUCUACCAAUUUGUCGUUGUGAAAAGUGAGGAUGUGUGGAGGACUCAGGAGGCAAUGAGUUUGCGUUGGUCUGGGAAGGGGAAAUGUGAAAGAGAAUGAGAAAUAUCAGAGGAGAGCUCCAGAUGUGUGGUCUACGGGAGCAAAUGUGUGGUAGUGCCAUUCCCCACAGGAGGACUAGGUUUAGAAGUUGGAUAACAUCAUAACUUUGUUUUGGACAUAGUGAGUCUUUGAGAAAACCAGCAGUAAAUGACCAAGUAAUAACUACAUUUAAGCAGUUAUUUCAUAGCUUGGCUUUUAUUGUGCCCCAACAAGGUUCUCAGCUAGUUUCUCCAAUGCUCAAAAUAUGAAGGCAGAUAUUAUUUCCCCCAGUUUAUGGAUGAGAAAACCAGGCUUAAGGAGGUUAAAUUCUUUGCUUACCUUCAGGACUAAAAACUCAGACAUUUUAACCCUGCUGGAGAUCUUUCUCCUGUGUGCUAUGGUAAUCUAGGCAUCACAGAUGUCUCAAAGAAACCUGUAGAAGAGUGAAUUUUUUUCUGUUAUAAGGUCUUGUUUCAUUUGGGGAAAAUAUGGGCUUUGUCUCUUUGGAUUCGAGAGCAGGCUCAUGUGAGUUUCAGUUAAUCAACUAAUCAGCACUCACUGAGAAAUUAUCAUAUAUUUAGAAUUUUGCUGCCCAUUAUAAAAAGAUUAUGAAUAGUAUAAGACGAUCCUUGAUUCAAGGGUUUAAAAAUUAGGAGAGGGAGCAAAUAAAUACAGGAAACAUGAGUGAUAAUGGGCUGAUAGAACAGCUUGAGGAAAGGACAGAUAAAUAAGUCUUAUUUAGGGGAGACCUACAUGGUGUGUACAAAAGGAAUUAAAAAAAAAAGAGAGAUACUGUGCUGAUGGGCUAAGAAAUUUCAGUAACUGAAUGCUGGUCUGUGGAUUGGAUGUCUCCGUCCCAGAAAAUUUCUUAAGUGUGCAAUUAAUUACAAUUAGCUAAAUGAAGUAUGUGUUAAAUGGUCUGAAAAUUGAAGCUACUGGGAACCUAUUUUAUUUAACAUUUAUUUUUCAGAUUCCUGCAAUCAAGAGUGGUUUUCUUUUUUGAUAGACAAGGGACAGCAAUCUGUUCACAUUUUUGCUGAAGGAAAAGCUGAUAUUGUGACUGUGUUUAAAUCUGAUAGAAUCUAAAUCCUUAUCCCACUAAUGAAAAAUAUCAUCAACAAAUCUUAGUCUAAGAUCUUUGAGCUUCCAAAAA